This 207-nucleotide ribosomal RNA is filed under the name uncultured Glaciecola sp. RNAcentral describes it as "partial 16S ribosomal RNA". It matches the Rfam family "Bacterial small subunit ribosomal RNA", at positions 568 to 774 of the family's 1533-position model. Lineage: Bacteria; Pseudomonadati; Pseudomonadota; Gammaproteobacteria; Alteromonadales; Alteromonadaceae. The record is from RNAcentral.
CACGCAGGCGGUUUGUUAAGCUAGAUGUGAAAGCCCCGGGCUCAACCUGGGACGGUCAUUUAGAACUGGCAGACUAGAGUCUUGGAGAGGGGAGUGGAAUUCCAGGUGUAGCGGUGAAAUGCGUAGAUAUCUGGAGGAACAUCAGUGGCGAAGGCGACUCCCUGGCCAAAGACUGACGCUCAUGUGCGAAAGUGUGGGUAGCGAACA